AAGCUUGAAUUCAAAGUAACCAAUGAAUGACUGACAAGUUAUAUUUCUGUGUUUUGCUCCUUCUGAAGAAGUAUAUUUGCAUGUGCUGUUCUAUAAGA
Pseudonaja textilis is the source of this 98-nucleotide non-coding RNA. NCBI's taxonomy places the organism in Eukaryota, Metazoa, Chordata, Lepidosauria, Squamata, Elapidae. The record is from RefSeq and is a predicted model, not a curated record.